This 351-nucleotide ribosomal RNA is filed under the name uncultured bacterium. RNAcentral describes it as "partial 16S ribosomal RNA". It matches the Rfam family "Bacterial small subunit ribosomal RNA", at positions 338 to 686 of the family's 1533-position model. The record is from RNAcentral.
CCUACGGGCGGCAGCAGUGAGGAAUAUUGGUCAAUGGGCGGAAGCCUGAACCAGCCAAGUAGCGUGCAGGAUGACGGCCCUACGGGUUGUAAACUGCUUUUAUACGGGAAUAACGCGCCUUACGUGUAGGGCUUUGCAUUUACCGUAUGAAUAAGGACCGGCUAAUUCCGUUCCAGCAGCCGCGGUAAGACGGAGGGUCCGUGCGUUAUCCUGAUUUGUUGGGUUUAAAGGGAGCGUAGGCCGCAUGUCAAGCGUGCUGUGAAAUGUCCGGGCUCAACCCGGGCCUUGCAGGGAGAACUGGCGUGCUUGGGGCAGCGGAGGGCAGGCGGAAUUCAUGGUGUAGCGGAGAAA